UAAAAAAAAACAAACAAACAAAAACAAAACAAAACAAAGAAAACAAAAUCACCCCUUUUGUUCAAUUUUUUUGUGGUGUAUUACUUUU
RNAcentral lists this non-coding RNA (88 nucleotides) under Platyophrya macrostoma. Lineage: Eukaryota; Ciliophora; Colpodea; Cyrtolophosidida; Platyophryidae. The record is from RNAcentral.